This 1343-nucleotide ribosomal RNA is filed under the name Enterococcus faecium. RNAcentral's name for it is "bacterial SSU rRNA". It matches the Rfam family "Bacterial small subunit ribosomal RNA", at positions 202 to 1533 of the family's 1533-position model. The record is from RNAcentral. Lineage: Bacteria; Bacillati; Bacillota; Bacilli; Lactobacillales; Enterococcaceae.
AAAGGCGCUUUCGGGUGUCGCUGAUGGAUGGACCCGCGGUGCAUUAGCUAGUUGGUGAGGUAACGGCUCACCAAGGCCACGAUGCAUAGCCGACCUGAGAGGGUGAUCGGCCACAUUGGGACUGAGACACGGCCCAAACUCCUACGGGAGGCAGCAGUAGGGAAUCUUCGGCAAUGGACGAAAGUCUGACCGAGCAACGCCGCGUGAGUGAAGAAGGUUUUCGGAUCGUAAAACUCUGUUGUUAGAGAAGAACAAGGAUGAGAGUAACUGUUCAUCCCUUGACGGUAUCUAACCAGAAAGCCACGGCUAACUACGUGCCAGCAGCCGCGGUAAUACGUAGGUGGCAAGCGUUGUCCGGAUUUAUUGGGCGUAAAGCGAGCGCAGGCGGUUUCUUAAGUCUGAUGUGAAAGCCCCCGGCUCAACCGGGGAGGGUCAUUGGAAACUGGGAGACUUGAGUGCAGAAGAGGAGAGUGGAAUUCCAUGUGUAGCGGUGAAAUGCGUAGAUAUAUGGAGGAACACCAGUGGCGAAGGCGGCUCUCUGGUCUGUAACUGACGCUGAGGCUCGAAAGCGUGGGGAGCAAACAGGAUUAGAUACCCUGGUAGUCCACGCCGUAAACGAUGAGUGCUAAGUGUUGGAGGGUUUCCGCCCUUCAGUGCUGCAGCUAACGCAUUAAGCACUCCGCCUGGGGAGUACGACCGCAAGGUUGAAACUCAAAGGAAUUGACGGGGGCCCGCACAAGCGGUGGAGCAUGUGGUUUAAUUCGAAGCAACGCGAAGAACCUUACCAGGUCUUGACAUCCUUUGACCACUCUAGAGAUAGAGCUUCCCCUUCGGGGGCAAAGUGACAGGUGGUGCAUGGUUGUCGUCAGCUCGUGUCGUGAGAUGUUGGGUUAAGUCCCGCAACGAGCGCAACCCUUAUUGUUAGUUGCCAUCAUUCAGUUGGGCACUCUAGCAAGACUGCCGGUGACAAACCGGAGGAAGGUGGGGAUGACGUCAAAUCAUCAUGCCCCUUAUGACCUGGGCUACACACGUGCUACAAUGGGAAGUACAACGAGUUGCGAAGUCGCGAGGCUAAGCUAAUCUCUUAAAGCUUCUCUCAGUUCGGAUUGCAGGCUGCAACUCGCCUGCAUGAAGCCGGAAUCGCUAGUAAUCGCGGAUCAGCACGCCGCGGUGAAUACGUUCCCGGGCCUUGUACACACCGCCCGUCACACCACGAGAGUUUGUAACACCCGAAGUCGGUGAGGUAACCUUUUUGGAGCCAGCCGCCUAAGGUGGGAUAGAUGAUUGGGGUGAAGUCGUAACAAGGUAGCCGUAUCGGAAGGUGCGGCUGGAUCACCUCCUUU